AAGGUAGUGAUGGAAUUGGUAGACAUGAAUAACUUAGGAUUAUUUGAUUUAAUAGAUCUUAUCCGUUCAAGUCGGAUUUACCUUA
RNAcentral lists this transfer RNA (85 nucleotides) under Scytalidium sp. Its description in RNAcentral is "tRNA-Leu". Lineage: Eukaryota; Fungi; Ascomycota; Leotiomycetes. The record is from RNAcentral.